RNAcentral lists this ribosomal RNA (119 nucleotides) under Saimiri boliviensis boliviensis (Bolivian squirrel monkey). Lineage: Eukaryota; Metazoa; Chordata; Mammalia; Primates; Cebidae. The record is from RNAcentral.
AGUCACGGCCGUACCACCGUGAACGCACCCGAUCUCAUCUGAUCUCAGAAGCUAAGCUGGGUCCGGACUGGUUAGUACUUGGAUGGGAGACGAUGCGGAGCCUUGAGAGCUUGUGUCUU